This is a non-coding RNA of Pelobates cultripes (western spadefoot toad), 983 nucleotides long. NCBI's taxonomy places the organism in Eukaryota, Metazoa, Chordata, Amphibia, Anura, Pelobatidae. The record is from the annotation of a GenBank genome assembly.
UUCGCAGUCAAGGGCGACAGGGCCAGUGAAAAUUCAGUCCUGGUAAACCGAACAUCUCCUGUGUGCCAUGGAUCUUUCAGUGGAAGUUAACUUUUAAGCCUGUCUAGUAGCGUGGAACUUGAUAUUUUAGCCCUCUCUAUAUACAGAGAUCCUCAUGAGGGAACCGUUUCAAUGUGGGUAAAUCUCACAAGAGCAGUUAUUAGAGUGGUACAGAGUAGCAGUGGCGUGCUAAGAGGGGACGGAGGGAGCUGUCCGCCCCGGGUGCCACUCACUAGGGGGGUACCAGGGGCAGGCUGUGUCGGGUCCUGGGUCACUGACUGAGAACCUGACACCAGGAGGGGGCCUGGCGGUAUAUCGAACAAGUGUGAUGCCCCUCCUGCGCAAAUUGCAGACACCGGUCUGCAGCUCUGCAGUGUGCAGAGCUGCAGACCGUGUGUCUCGCGAGAUCUGAUCAAUCAAAGCAUUGCCGUAGGUUACCACAGCAAUGCUCUGACUGGGUCUCGCAAAAUUCAUGGUCUGCACUGCUGAGCUGCAGACUGGAUAUCGCCGGAUAUCAACACCGGACCACCAGGGAGCCCACACUGGACCAUCAGGGAAUAAAAUAAGGUAUUUAGUCCCUCUCACCAUCACACCAUCACUCCCCCCUCUCUCUCACCAUCACAACAUCACUCCCCCCUUCCUCACAGUAUGACCCUCCCCCUCUCACGUUCCCCCCUCCCUCAAACCAUCACUUCCCCCUCCCUCACAGUAUGACCCCCCUCUCACUUUCCACCCUCUCACCUCUGUGUGUGUAUAUAUCUGUGUAUGUGUUGUGACAGAGUCUGUGGGAGGGUAAUAGAAGGAAGGUAUUUAGGACCCAGACUCCUCCAUAGCCUGUACUCAUUCACCUUCCCAAUUAGCAACUGCUGAGGCUUUAAUUAGCAGGUCUCAGAGCAGAAAGGGGGAGAUACAAUCUGACCUGCAGAGAGAGAGCAGCACCAAAC